CACGCGGAAUGGAGCAGCCCACACACAGGACAGGCAUGGCCCAGGCCACCCAGCGGGGCCCAAGCCUGAAGACUGCAGUCCCAAAUGGCCCCACUAACACCCUGGGCACCGUUCCAGCCUCACCAGCAAGCUGCGUUCAUGAGUCUCCUCACCUCAGGGACCCUGGGGAUGCCUUUCCGGGGCUGUUGGGUGUCCAGCAGACACCGCCACAAAAGGGAGGGCACUGGGGGGACCUGCACAGGGAUGAGAGGGCCAUCAGCAGCCAGCAGCCGUCCUGCUUCCCCCGGUGCAGAGCACAUCCUUCUGCCACAGGCUCUCCCUAAGUAGUCCGUUGCCUGGUGCUUGUCCCAAACUAGCUGCUUCUCCAGCCCCAGCCCUUCCACAGCGGGGACACAGGGCAAUCCAGGGGGUCCGGCACCCUGUCGGGUACCUGCAGGCCAGUGAUGCCCCUCUCCACAGGAGCAGAAGGACGAGGCCGUGCAGACCGAGGUCACCUCCUCCAUUGCUGCCCACAGCCAUGCUGACACCAGCUCCGGGGUCCUGAAGGAGGAGCGCACAGAGCUCUUUGGUCAGCCCAGGCCUGGAGCACCCUGCAGCGCGCAGAGGAGCGGCCACGUUCGUCCAUGGGAAAGCGCACACCCUGCCAGGCCAACUGCCAGGUGGAGGCCGAGCUGCAAGCAGGCAGCAGCAAAGCCGAGCAGGCACAGAGCAGGGAGGUGGCAGUGCGGGUCCAGGCAGAGCUCAGCCAGUGCCAGCGGAAACAGCAACUGAGCCUGGAGCAGGCGCUGAAACACAUGCACCCUGCGUCCCAUGCCCAAGAGAAGGUGCAGAAGAGCCAGGAACAGCUCCAAGCCCUGAGGGAGCAGGUUGGUAGUGGACAAAACCUGCUGGGGGGGUCCCUCCGUCAGCCUGGCCCAGUCUCCCCUGCCCCNGUGGGUAGGGCAGGGCUUGCCCAGGGCCAGGAGCAAGCUACCACGCCACGAGAGCAGCAAGGGCAGCUGCACUGCCAGCAGGACGGGAAGGAAAAGCUCUAGCAAGAGCUGCAGCAGGCGAGGAGUGGACGAGCACCCUCAAGAGAGAGAAUAAAGCCCUGGAGCAAAGCCUGUGCUGCA
Molecule: long non-coding RNA, 1112 nt
Filed under: Calidris pygmaea (Spoon-billed sandpiper)
Lineage: Eukaryota; Metazoa; Chordata; Aves; Charadriiformes; Scolopacidae
Description: lncRNA (ENSCPGG00000008254.1)
Source: RNAcentral